CGGUCCGGAUUGAAUGGUUGUCAAGAGCUUGAGCACAGAAGACUCCAGUAUAGUUGCAGACAUAGCAUCCCACCCAGUUGGAUGUUAGAUUCCAAGGAUCCGAGAUGAUGGCCUUUUUCCAUGCUUGGAGAGCUAUGUAGGCACUUCUAAUUCGUGAAUUCUCAAAUUUAAAGGAAGGUGGUAUUCUCCCAAACUCCCCUCUACCACCAUACCGGUUUCUAUAAUAUAAGAGUUGUCUUUGUUUGAUAAAUGCAGCUUCUGCUUCUAGAAAUACUCCAUUGUUAGAAACAGAGAGCUUUUCGGCUGUGACAAGGGUAAUGAGAGUGAGAAUAGCGAACAACGGAAGAAUUAUAUUAAUCUUUGGCCUCAUCACUCACCUUCGAACAUCUAUAUAUGAAAUGGGAUUAUUUCUUUUUAUGCUUUUGUAUGUUUUAUUUCAGAUCUAUCGAGAGGAGAUUUUGGAGCUGAAAAAAUGUGGGAAAAGUUAAUAGUAGUAUGAAGAUAAAUACAGCUAUAUCACAGGAGUAAAAGCAGAAUGAGCUCUGUUUUUUGGUCUUUGCUUGCCAUGGUAAAUCGGCUUUAUUUUCUGGUCAGAAGAGAGUUAAAUUCAUUUUUAGUGAGCGUUUUUGGUUGUCAAUUUAAAGAAAAUGGAGUUGGUAAAAAGCAUUAAGCACAUGUGAUGUAUGUAGAUGAAGCUGUUGAUGUUGUUGUAAUUUUGAAAGGCUAGUAUUAGUCUGUCAGUGAGUGGCAGUGCUUGCCGGAGGCUGGUGAAUGCUUCUGUUGACCAAGGACAGCUUGUAUUCCGGACCAUUUUGUUCGCCGCUUCUAACUCUCCUCAUUAACUAACUGUACAUCUCGUCAAAGCUUUGAGCGGGAAGUGCUUUCGGAGUGGCCGUUUUAAAAGUCCUUUUCUCUAAUUUUAUUCAAGUUAAGAAAAUCGAAAUCAUUUCCAUUUCUUAAAGAUGUGGGAGUUAUAUUGGUUUUGCAUUAUGGUUUGAUUUUUUUAUGAAGUACCAAAUCCAGUUGAGAAUCAAUCACCUACCUGUACUUGGGUUUGGGUUUGAG
RNAcentral lists this long non-coding RNA (1065 nucleotides) under Citrus x clementina. RNAcentral's name for it is "Citrus clementina (C. clementina) long non-coding RNA (CCLE_LNC006440)". Lineage: Eukaryota; Viridiplantae; Streptophyta; Magnoliopsida; Sapindales; Rutaceae. The record is from RNAcentral.